GAACGGAGAAUUGCUAGCUUGCUAAUAAUUCUCUAGUGGCGCACGGGUGAGUAACACGUGAGUACCUGCCCCCAAGAGUGGGAUAGCCCCGGGAAACUGGGAUUAAUACCGCAUAAAGCAAUAAAGCAGCAAUGCGCUUGGGGAUGGGCUCGCGUCCUAUUAGUUAGUUGGUGAGGUAACGGCUCACCAAGGCGAUGACGGGUAGCCGGUCUGAGAGGAUGUCCGGCCACACUGGAACUGAGACACGGUCCAGACACCUACGGGUGGCAGCAGUCGAGAAUCAUUCACAAUGGGGGAAACCCUGAUGGUGCGACGCCGCGUGGGGGAUAAGGUCUUCGGAUUGUAAACCCCUGUCAUGUGGGGCAUUAAAAGAUAGUACCACAAGAGGAAGAGACGGCUAACUCUGUGCCGGCAGCCGCGGUAAUACAGAGGUCUCAAGCGUUGUUCGGAAUCACUGGGCGUAAAGCGUGCGUAGGCGGUUUCGUAAGUCGUGUGUGAAAGGCGGGGGCUCAACCCCCGGACUGCACAUGAUACUGCGAGACUAGAGUAAUGGAGGGGGAACCGGAAUUCUCGGUGUAGCAGUGAAAUGCGUAGAUAUCGAGAGGAACACUCGUGGCGAAGGCGGGUUCCUGGACAUUAACUGACGCUGAGGCACGAAGGCCAGGGGAGCGAAAGGGAUUAGAUACCCCUGUAGUCCUGGC
This 701-nucleotide ribosomal RNA is filed under the name uncultured bacterium. Its description in RNAcentral is "bacterial SSU rRNA". It matches the Rfam family "Bacterial small subunit ribosomal RNA", at positions 64 to 800 of the family's 1533-position model. The record is from RNAcentral.